UGGGGAAUUUUGGACAAUGGGCGCAAGCCUGAUCCAGCCAUGCCGCGUGAGUGAAGAAGGCCUUCGGGUUGUAAAGCUCUUUCAGCAGGAACGAAAUGGUUCGUGCUAAUACCACGGAUUGAUGACGGUACCUGAAGAAGAAGCACCGGCUAACUACGUGCCAGCAGCCGCGGUAAUACGUAGGGUGCAGGCGUUAAUCGGAAUUACUGGGCGUAAAGCGUGCGCAGGCGGUUUCUCAAGUCAGAUGUGAAAGCCCCGGGCUUAACCUGGGAACUGCGUUUGAAACUGGGAGACUUGAGUGUGGCAGAGGGGGGUGGAAUUCCACGUGUAGCAGUGAAAUGCGUAGAUAUGUGGAGGAACACCGAUGGCGAAGGCAGCCCCCUGGGUCAACACUGACGCUCAUGCACGAAAGCGUGGGGAGCAAACAGGAUUAGAUACCCUGGUAGUCCACGCCCUAAACUAUGUCAACUGGUUGUCGGGGGAUUGAUUCCCUUGGUAACGAAGCUAACGCGUGAAGUUGACCGCCUGGGGAGUACGGCCGCAAGGUUA
This 549-nucleotide ribosomal RNA is filed under the name uncultured bacterium. RNAcentral describes it as "bacterial SSU rRNA". It matches the Rfam family "Bacterial small subunit ribosomal RNA", at positions 355 to 896 of the family's 1533-position model. The record is from RNAcentral.